RNAcentral lists this non-coding RNA (687 nucleotides) under Amblyomma latum. The record is from RNAcentral. Lineage: Eukaryota; Metazoa; Arthropoda; Arachnida; Ixodida; Ixodidae.
GGUUUGUAUGAAAAUCCUAGUAAAUUUUUUAUGAAUUUUAUAAAAAAAAAAGAAUAGAAAAUAAAAUUUAUUUAAUAAUUAAAUGUUAUUGAAAUUUAUUUAAAUAACUUAGCUAAUUUUGUGCCAGCAGCAGCGGUUAGACAAAAAAGAAUCUUUUAAUUAAAAAAGCUUUAAUGUAUAAUACUUAAAAUUUUAUUAAUUAAAAAAGGUGAAAUUUUUUAAUUAAAUGUCAAUUAUUUAAAGAAAAAAUUCAAAAAUUAAACUAGGAUUAGAUACCCUAUUAUAAGAAUAUUUUAUAUUGUUAGUAUGUAAAUAUUAUGAAAACAAAAAGCUAUGGCGGUGUUUUAAGCUUUUCAGAGGAAUUUGCUCUUUAAUGGAUAAUACACCAAAAUCUUACUAAAAUUUGUUAUUUUCCAGUUUGUAUACCACUAUUGAAGUAAUUAUUAAAAAUAAUUAUUUAAAUUUUUUUUAAAAAUUAAUUUAAGUCAUGGUGCAGCUAAAAUUUUAGAAUGAAGUGAAUUACAUUUCUUUAUAGAAAUUUAAAAUUUAAAACAAAAAUUAGGAUUUGAAAGUAAAAAUUCAAUAUAAUGGUUUUUUGAAUUUAGCUCUAAAACAUGUACAUAUCGCCCGUCGCUCUUUUUAUUUAAGAUAAGUCGUAACAAAGUUAAAAUACUGGAAAGUGUUUUA